GAGAGAGAGUUUCGUCACAGUCUCUGCUGUGGUAUCGUGGUUACGUCACAGAAUAUCGGAGUAACGUCUUUUCUUUCGUCACAGUUUAGUACACGUACACGUAGGGUUUGUCGCCGGUAUGCUAUCAUCCACAAUUGUGCGAAUUUAUAAAAAAGAGGGUUGGUGUUGGUAUUUGCUGCAUCUCACCAUAUAAACUUCUAAGCUUGGGAAAUUUAGUUUGAUGGAUUACAAUUAUCGCAACAGCCCCGAAGAUUACAAAUGGCGAUAAAGAAGUGUGAACACCAAAUGGCAAAAAAUUGGAAUCCUAUUAUAUAACAGAUCCUGCUCAUGAGAAAAUACUGCUUGCUUGUCCCCCAGAAGAGGUCCUUUUUGUGAAUGCUCUUUUUAUGAGGAAGAUAGUAAUUCAAAGAAGGGAAUUCAUAUACCAGGCAAUUUGGAAUUUUGUCCAGAAUGGCAUGGAAACAGUAGAGGACUCAGUGUUGGUUCCAUUGUAAAAUUUGCACAAAAUAUUUUGGUCAGGCAGCUGACUGGAAAAUGUUCGAAAAUAAGUGAUAUUGACAAUACAAAUGUCUGUUGUGAAAUAUGCUUACUUUCAAGUUUUCAUUAUUCUUCAAUGUAAAACUGCUUAAAAAUUUGGAGUUUACAAGACUAAACACAUUCAUCCCCUUCAAUUAAAAAUGGUGUCUUGAAAAUUUAUGAAAGAAAAAGAUAUAAUUGUAAAUUUUGCACCAAAACCCACAAAAUAGCUUUCACACAAAAUCAAAUUGUUGAUACGGUUUGUCUCUAAUAACACUUUACGCUCAUUUUCUUUGAAACGUUUGUAUAGCAGUUUGUUCAAGGUUUUGAAAGUUUUGCCACCAUAUAUUUUAAUAAUAUAAUUAAUGUCUUCAUUAAAAAGUAUUUCUCCAUUUUGUUCUUCAGCCAUGCUGCGUCAAGUAACUUCUGAUGCUCAUUAAAAUUUUUAAUAAAAUUAUUCUUCCUGCUGAAUAAACUUGUAAGGUAAAUUGUUGGCUGGUUUGAAAACAUCAGGUGCUAAAACCAUCAAUACCACUAACACAUCAAUGUCUUCUGCUACAA
Long non-coding RNA from Leptinotarsa decemlineata (Colorado potato beetle), 1077 nucleotides. Lineage: Eukaryota; Metazoa; Arthropoda; Insecta; Coleoptera; Chrysomelidae. The record is from RefSeq and is a predicted model, not a curated record.